This 497-nucleotide ribosomal RNA is filed under the name uncultured bacterium. RNAcentral's name for it is "partial 16S ribosomal RNA". It matches the Rfam family "Bacterial small subunit ribosomal RNA", at positions 28 to 507 of the family's 1533-position model. The record is from RNAcentral.
GAUGAACGCUGGCGGCGUGCCUAAUACAUGUAAGUCGAGCGAACGGACGAGAAGCUUGCUUCUCUGAUGUUAGCGGCGGACGGGUGAGUAACACGUGGAUAACCUACCUAUAAGACUGGGAUAACUUCGGGAAACCGGAGCUAAUACCGGAUAAUAUUUUGAACCGCAUGGUUCAAAAGUGAAAGACGGUCUUGCUGUCACUUAUAGAUGGAUCCGCGCUGCAUUAGCUAGUUGGUAAGGUAACGGCUUACCAAGGCAACGAUGCAAAGCCGACCUGAGAGGGUGAUCAGCCACACUGGAACUGAGACACGGUCCAGACUCCUACGGGAGGCAGCCGUAGGGAAUCUUCCGCAAUGGGCGAAAGCCUGACGGAGCAACGCCGCGUGAGUGAUGAAGGUCUUCGGAUCGUAAAACUCUGUUAUUAGGGAAGAACAUAUGUGUAAGUAACUGUGCACAUCUUGACGGUACCUAAUCAGAAAGCCACGGCUAACUACGUG